This 4463-nucleotide long non-coding RNA is filed under the name Nicotiana benthamiana. RNAcentral's name for it is "long non-coding RNA (NBEN_LNC010946)". Lineage: Eukaryota; Viridiplantae; Streptophyta; Magnoliopsida; Solanales; Solanaceae. The record is from RNAcentral.
UCAGCAAUUAUAAACAAAAACUUAAACAAAUAGAAAACAAAACUCCAGCUAUUAUAUUUAAGUUCAUCAAUUACAAACAAAAAUUUCAGCAAAUAAAGAACAAAACUUCAGUUACACUAUGCUUAAGUUCAGCAACUACAAAUAAAAACUUCAGGCCCAUCUACCAGAAUGCUAAAGUUUUGCGUGAUUGUCUUUGCUACUUCAUCAUGUAUGCUGAAGUUAUGCGAAAAAGUGGGUAUACUUGUAUUUUUUUUGCAAAACGGUAACAAGUUAAAACGUGACCCAAAAAGCGGGUAUGGAUGUAAAUGCCCCAAAGCCACUAUUUUUCUUCUUUAUUAGGCUUUGCACAAUUAGCCAACAAUUAAUUAACCUAAAAUAUAAAGCUAAAAAAUUCAAAUUAACCUAUUUAAUAAUAUAUGAUUGACUAAAUUAAUUAACUAAAAAUGCAUAUGAAAAUUACUAAAGUAUUUUUUGUUGUGAUUUUCAUGAUUACGAUAUUCCUAAGAUGCUAGAACAAUGCGACUAAAUGCAAAACAAAUAAAGAAUAAAUCCUAAUAUUCAUAAAAAUAAUAAAUAUUAUUUUUGAAUUAUUUUUAGGAGUAAUUAAAUCCUAAUAUUCAUAAAAAUAAUAAAAAUUAAUUUUGAAUUAUUUUUAGGAGUAAUUUCUUUUGUGGGGAAAAAUUAGAUGCUCAGAAGCGCGUUAAGUCAACAAUGGUCAAAGCAAAGAAGCUCAACUUCCAAUCAGAGAUCCGGUUUCUGUUGGAUUUGAUAGACAAGAACAUUGGGAAGGAAUCCAGUACUCCGCCUCAUAAGAUAGAUAGUGCGACUCGAUUUGAUAGACAAGAACAUUGGGAAGGAAUCCAGUACUCCGCCUCCUAAGAUAGAUAGUGUGACUCCGACUUCGGGGUAUAUUAAUGCUUGAUUUGGGAAUAAAACCGACAAAUCUUGUUGCAAGCUAUAGUGGAAACAAUUGUAGUAUCAACAAAGAAAGUAGAUUGCAGGGAAAUAAACAAGGUCAAUAUGGAAAUCAGGUUACUGGCUAACAGUUUGCUCCAUCUAGCUCUGUGGGCAUUUAUAUGAGCUAUAAUAGUUAUAUGGUAGAACAGGCCAUAGUGCUUCAAACUGUCCAAGGCCUAAUGUAUUUUCAAAAGGACAGAUUAACAGAAAGCGUAUGCACAACGCUAGCUUGGAUAGAAUAUCUUAUAUUUAUUAGAAAAACAUUUUCCUCCAAGUUCAAACACAUAUCAUCUGAUCAUAAAAGAUGAAAACUCAACAGAGUAAAAUACAUAAGCAGUAGGCUGAAAACCAUUGAAAUGUAUAUGAGGCCAGAAUGGGGUGGUAACAUAUCCCAAAUUUGAUAGCAAUUUACUUCUGAAUGGCAAUGCAAAUUUAAUUUUAUGUUUCUCUAGAACAGCAAGUAUCUAUUAAACAGAUAUUUAAGUCGAGAAUUGAACUCCAACAACACCGGAUUUCAAAUUUUUAAAGCAAAUCCUAGCUUUGAACUCACAAACACACAAGAAUAAAGUUUCAGCAGAAAAUUCAUGAAAUAAUCCUUCAAAUUGCAUCAUAAAGAGACAGGGUUUUACUCAUAUCACGUGAGUAUUUAUUCAACAGCAUGCCAUGAGUCUCAAAGAAAGAUCAAAAUUCAUCAUUCAAUAUAGACCAAUCAUUAUUACAGAGUGGUAUGAACAUACCUAGACUGGAAAGACGAAUACAGAGCAGAAAUGGAGACGGCAAGACCUAGCCAAAGCAGCCACAAAUUCAACAAUUCAACCAGCAAUUUAGGAGAGUUUAUACACUUGAAAUCCCAGAAAACCACGAGCCAACAAACUGAUAUCUUUCUUCUUUUUUUUUUUCAAGAUCUGAAAGUUUUUUUUUAGCUGCUAGGUUGAAAAACGGGGAGGGAUCUGUUUGGUUCUCUCUUGAGAGGAUGGAGGGUCGCCCGAUGAAGGUUUUCUGAGAGAGAGGUCCGGCGGCGGCUAUCUUUGAGAAAGGGUAUUUGGAGUUGAUGAUAGAGGAAGGGAAUUAGGGCUUUUUGUUGGGAGGGGUCUGAUUCUCGUUCAUCCCUGGUGAAGUGAGAAGAAUGGAGAAGGAGCAAGAAGGUGUGCGGCGGAUAGGGUUUUGUAAGGCUCGGGGGGCCCUCGGUAAGGAGUUUUUCCGCAAGUGCACCACGGUUAAUUCAGGUUUUACCCAGUCCGAUGGCCCUCAUAAACUGUUUACACCCAGUGGGUUUCGAACUGAAGUGAGAAGAAAGGAGAAGGAGCAAGAAGGUGUGCGGCGGAUAGGGUUUUGUAAGGCGCCCGGGUGGGGGGGCGUUUCUGAUCUUUUUUGCAUGUGUGGAAUGGACGGAAAAGAAACAACACCGUUUAGGCAUGAAGUGGAAUGGGUUGGGAUUAUGGAAUGAUUGGGCUGAUGGUAAGAGUUGGGCCCAGAAAACUGGCCCGAGUUCGAAUUCAAGCUCUAAAAAGCCAUCGUAAAAAUUGUAAAAAUUACAUAGGGCGUCUUAUUUGGUCGCCCAUAUUUAUCUAUACCAAUUUAUUUUAAAAUUUUACUUUUUACCUAUUUUUAAAAUAAUUUUAGCUCUAUUUCUCAUUUUCCUUCUUCGUUUUCUUUCUUCUCAUCGUCCAAUUCAUAAUCUUUAUUUCAAAAAAAUAACUUUAUUAUAUCAAACAUAGUAUACACUCCCAUGGUUAGUUCAUACCUAUUUGCAUAAUUCAUUAAUGAAAGGAGUUACACUAUCUCUUAUAAUAGGUCUGCUUAUGCGCUCUACUUUAACACUAUCUAGAGAUGAAGUUUUUCGAUUACAAAAACAAAAACUUCAAUUCUAGAGCUAAAAUUUGCCAGCUAUAAAAUAAAAACUUUAGCUCUAAGGCUGAAGUUUGCCAGUUACAAAAAUAAAAACUUCAGCUCUAGGCCAGUUACAAAAUAAAACUUCAAGUCUAGAACCGAAGUUCGCCAGUUACAAAACAAAAACUUCAGCUCUAGAGCUGAACUUCAACCCCAUCUUUGCUACUUCAGCUCUGUAUGCUGAAGUUAUGCGAAAAAGCGGGUACACUUGUAAUAUUUUUACAAAGCGGACAUAAGUUAAAACGUGACACAAAAAAUUGCACGCAUCGCCCUAUUUCGUCGCUCUCACUUAACCCAUAUUAAUUUUUUAAAAACUCGUACCCACUUUUUAAACAACUUCAGCCCAAUUUCUUUUCCUCCUCCUCCUCCUCCUCCUUGGUUUUCUUUUUCUUCUUCUUCUUCUUCUUCUUCUUCCUCUUCUUCUUCUUCUUCUUUUCUUCUUCUUUCUUUUGUUAUUGUUGGUAAAAUUCAGCUCAUGGGAUGAUUGCCAUAAAUAUAUUUAUUCGAUUAUUUAAAAAUAAAUUAUAAAUAAUUAAGUAAGUUAGUAGAUAAUAAUUUGUGAAUAUUUCCACGUACGUAAGUUAUUACACAAUGAUAAUUCUAUUCUUUUCACGUUUAUUGUUUCCAAAAUUUAUAAUUUAGAUAAUGUUGUCAAUUUGAUUAUUUAUCUAGUAUGUUAGAAAGACUUUCAAAAACUUCAGCUUAUAUAGUGCUGAAACUUUUACAAAUGAACUGAAUAACUUCAGCAUCUUCUACUAAAGUUUUUGAAAAGGCUUUAUGACAAAACUAAUGAAUCCGGGACAAAAAAAAUUCAGCUUUUAGUGCUAAAAUUUUUACAAAUGAACUAAAUAAUUGAAGCAGCUUCCGCUGAAGUUUUUGAAAAAACUUAUACAAGACAAAAACAAUUCAGCUUAUUUAGUGUUGAAGUUUUAUAAAUGAACUAAAUAACUUCAACAUCUUCUGCUGAAGUAUUUGAAAAAUCUUAAUGAUAAAACUAAUGAAUCCAGGACAAACAAACUUCAGCUUAUUUAGUGCAAUUACAAACAAAAACUUCAGCAAAUAGUGAACAAAACUUCACUCAUAUUUAAGUUCAGCAAUCAUAAACAAAAACUUAAGCAAAUAGAAAACAAAACUCCAACUAUUAUGUUUAAGUUCAUCAAUUACAAACAAAAAUUUCAGCAAAUAAAGAACAAAACUUCAGUUACACUAUGCUUAAGUUCAGCAACUACGAAUAAAAACUCCAGGCCCAUCUACCAGAAUGCUAAAGUUUUGCGUGAUUGUCUUUGCUACUUCAUCAUGUAUGCUGAAGUUAUGCGAAAAAGUGGGUAUACUUGUAUUUUUUUUGCAAAACGGUCACAAGUUAAAACGUGACCCAAAAAGCGGGUAUGGAUGUAAAUGCCCCAAAGCCACUAUUUUUCUUCUUUAUUAGGCUUUGCACAAUUAGCCAACAAUUAAUUAACCUAAAAUAUAAAGCUAAAAAAUUCAAAUUAACCUAUUUAAUAAUAUAUGAUUGACUAAAUUAAUUAACUAAAAAUGCAUAUGAAAAUUACUAAAGUAUUUUUUGUUGUGAUUUUCAUGAUUACGAUAUUCCUAAGAUGCUAGAACAAUGCGACUAA